This 302-nucleotide ribosomal RNA is filed under the name uncultured bacterium. Its description in RNAcentral is "bacterial SSU rRNA". It matches the Rfam family "Bacterial small subunit ribosomal RNA", at positions 496 to 796 of the family's 1533-position model. The record is from RNAcentral.
AUUCGCCCUUUGCCAGCAVCCGCGGUAAUACGUAGGUGGCAAGCGUUAUCCGGAAUUAUUGGGCGUAAAGCGCGCGUAGGCGGUUUUUUAAGUCUGAUGUGAAAGCCCACGGCUCAACCGUGGAGGGUCAUUGGAAACUGGAAAACUUGAGUGCAGAAGAGGAAAGUGGAAUUCCAUGUGUAGCGGUGAAAUGCGCAGAGAUAUGGAGGAACACCAUGUGGCGAAGGCGACUUUCUGGUCUGUAACUGACGCUGAUGUGCRAAAGCGUGGGGAUCAAACAGGAUUAGAUACCCUGGUAGUCC